AAGUCGUAACAAGGUUUCCGUAGGUGAACCUGCGGAAGGAUCAUUACAUUCAGUAGCCUAGCUACUUGUUUACACCCUUGUUUUUGCGUACCUAUUGUUUCCUCGGCGGGCUUGCUCGCCGGUUGGACAAAACUAUAACCUUUUUUAAAUCUUCAAUCAGCGUCUGAAUUAUACAUAAUAAUUACAACUUUCAACAACGGAUCUCUUGGUUCUG
Molecule: unclassified non-coding RNA, 214 nt
Filed under: Phaeosphaeria podocarpi
Lineage: Eukaryota; Fungi; Ascomycota; Dothideomycetes; Pleosporales; Phaeosphaeriaceae
Also listed under: 4 other names
Description: partial internal transcribed spacer region
Rfam family: Eukaryotic small subunit ribosomal RNA (bases 1-46)
Source: RNAcentral